RNAcentral lists this transfer RNA (74 nucleotides) under Bacillota bacterium. Its description in RNAcentral is "tRNA-Cys". It matches the Rfam family "tRNA". Rfam says of the family: Transfer RNA (tRNA) molecules are approximately 80 nucleotides in length. Their secondary structure includes four short double-helical elements and three loops (D, anti-codon, and T loops). Lineage: Bacteria; Bacillati; Bacillota. The record is from RNAcentral. RNAcentral also lists the same sequence under 3 other names.
GGCGACGUGGCCGAGUGGUCAGGCAGAGGUCUGCAAAACCUCCUACGGCGGUUCGAAUCCGCCCGUCGCCUCCA